Molecule: unclassified non-coding RNA, 493 nt
Filed under: Banisteriopsis malifolia
Lineage: Eukaryota; Viridiplantae; Streptophyta; Magnoliopsida; Malpighiales; Malpighiaceae
Description: partial contains external transcribed spacer and 18S ribosomal RNA
Rfam family: Eukaryotic small subunit ribosomal RNA (bases 437-493)
Source: RNAcentral
GGGCGUGUGAGUGGUGUUUGGAAUGUUGGGAUGGUAGGCUCCGUGCUUUUGCAUCGAACUGCUAGCCCGCAAUCCUUUUCAAGUCUCGAGCAUUGCUUUUAUGCUCGUGUUUUUGNNNGUGUUCCUGUAUUUGAUACCCAUGUUGGCGGAACUAGGCUUCUGUUCUCCCCCCACUCGGUGCCUCUUACGGGCACGGGUGGACCACACAGCUCUGGCCCAUUAUUCCUAGCAAGCUCUUCGGGCUGCAACGGUUGUUGGAUCAAAGCUCGUGUUCUCGGAUGCAGAAUACNCGAUGGGUCCAGGGAUUGAAUCCUUGCAUUCGCCCCGUGUGGGAAANCGUCCCUCGAUAGGAACGACAUCCGCUGCGCGCCGCGAUCCGUCCGUCCUCUCGGGCCCAGGACGCUUCGCGCGUGCACCGGUGUCCCCGAAGGAAUGCUACCUGGUUGAUCCUGCCAGUAGUCAUAUGCUUGUCUCAAAGAUUAAGCCAUGCAUG